UACGUAGGGACCAAGCGUUGUUCGGAUUUACUGGGCGUAAAGGGCGCGUAGGCGGCGAAUCAAGUCAGUUGUGAAAUCUCCGAGCUUAACUCGGAACGGUCAACUGAUACUGUUUUGCUAGAGUACAGAAGGGGCAACCGGAAUUCUUGGUGUAGCGGUGAAAUGCGUAGAUAUCAAGAGGAACACCUGAGGUGAAGACGGGUUGCUGGGCUGAUACUGACGCUGAGGCGCGAAAGCUAGGGUAGCAAACGGG
This 253-nucleotide ribosomal RNA is filed under the name uncultured bacterium. RNAcentral describes it as "partial 16S ribosomal RNA". It matches the Rfam family "Bacterial small subunit ribosomal RNA", at positions 524 to 776 of the family's 1533-position model. The record is from RNAcentral.